CGACCAGACUCCUACGGGAGGCAGCAGUGGGGGAUAUUGCACAAUGGGGGAAACCCUGAUGCAGCGACGCCGCGUGGGUGAAGAAGCGCCUCGGCGCGUAAAUCCCUGUCAGGAGGGAAGAAAAUGACGGUACCUGAAGAAGAAGCUCCGGCUAAAUACGUGCCAGCAGCCGCGGUAAUACGUAUGGAGCAAGCGUUAUCCGGAAUUACUGGGUGUAAAGGGAGCGUAGACGGAUGUGCAAGUCUGAUGUGAAAGGCGGGGGCCCAACCCCUGGACUGCAUUGGAAACUGUAAAUCUUGAGUGCCGGAGAGGUAAGCGGAAUUCCUAGUGUAGCGGUGAAAUGCGUAGAUAUUAGGAGGAACACCAGUGGCGAAGGCGGCUUACUGGACGGUAACUGACGUUGAGGCUCGAAAGCGUGGGGAGCAAACAGGAUUAGAUACCCCAGUAG
This 448-nucleotide ribosomal RNA is filed under the name uncultured bacterium. RNAcentral describes it as "bacterial SSU rRNA". It matches the Rfam family "Bacterial small subunit ribosomal RNA", at positions 328 to 793 of the family's 1533-position model. The record is from RNAcentral.